This 460-nucleotide ribosomal RNA is filed under the name uncultured bacterium. RNAcentral describes it as "partial 16S ribosomal RNA". It matches the Rfam family "Bacterial small subunit ribosomal RNA", at positions 338 to 795 of the family's 1533-position model. The record is from RNAcentral.
CCUACGGGUGGCAGCAGUGAGGAAUAUUGGUCAAUGGACGCAAGUCUGAACCAGCCAUGCCGCGUGCAGGAUGACGGCCCUAUGAGUUGUAAACUGCUUUUGUACGAGGGUAAACCCCGAUACGCGUAUCUCUCUGCAUGUACCCUACGAAUAAGGAUCGGCUAACUCCGUGCCAGCAGCCGCGGUAAUACGGAGGAUUCAAGCGUUAUCCGGAUUUAUUGGGUUUAAAGGGUGCGUAGGCGGUCGGUUAAGUUAGAGGUGAAAUCCCGGGGCUCAACCUCGGAAUUGCCUCUGAUACUGUUAGGCUAGAGUGUAGUAGCGGUAGGCGGAAUGUGUGGUGUAGCGGUGAAAUGCUUAGAGAUCAUGCAGAACACCGAUUGCGAAGGCAGCUUACCAAGCUACAUCUGACGUUGAGGCACGAAAGCGUGGGGAGCAAACAGGAUUAGAUACCCGGGUAGUC